Solanum dulcamara is the source of this 647-nucleotide long non-coding RNA. RefSeq lists it as uncharacterized. The transcript has 2 exons. The record is from RefSeq and is a predicted model, not a curated record. NCBI's taxonomy places the organism in Eukaryota, Viridiplantae, Streptophyta, Magnoliopsida, Solanales, Solanaceae.
ACGGACGAAUUGUUAAUACCCUUUUUCCCUGGUUUCUUCUUCUUUUUUCUUUCUCCAUUGAUGUAGAAAAGUUAUUAGAGAUGGGUCAAUUAUUCAUAGCUGUGAAAAGAGAAGAUCAAAGACAUAUAUUGUGAUUUUUGUGAAUUGUAUGAUGCAUUGACAUCUUCUUGGCGGUUAAUCUGUGCCAUCUCCAGUGUCCAUAUUAAUUCAUAGCCACCAUAUCUUGCUUCAAAUCAAGCUUGUAGAUGCCAUCAUAGAAGCUGGAAAUAUCAUGGUAAGUAAUUAAUGAUGAGUUUAAUAAUGUAAUCUUAAAACUUUUUAUCCAAUUCUGUUUUUUGUUUUGUUUUAUGACUUGCUUGAAGCAAGCCAUUUGGAUUACCAAAGAGAUGUUAAAAAUAUGGGUAAGUGCUCAUUGACACAGAGUUUUUUAAAAAAUCAACUCUUUCCAAAGAAGAAUUUUUGGCUCGUACUAUUAUCACGUUUGCUUUGAAGGAUGUAUGCCUUCUGAAAUUCGAAAUAGGAUAAGAAGGAGAAGAGGCAUCAGCACUCUAAUAAGCAUCAUAUAUAUGCGUACUCUUGUAAUUCUUGGCUUUGUAAUAAAACUUAUUUGGGAUGAACUGUUAAUUAUUUCUACUAGUAUUGAUUAA